AAGUCUGGUGCCAGCAGCCGCGGUAAUUCCAGCUCCAAUAGCGUAUAUUAAAGUUGUUGCAGUUAAAAAGCUCGUAGUUGAAUUUCGGGGUUAGUAGGUUGGUCAUGCCUCUGGUAUGUACUGGUCUCACUGAUUCCUCCUUCCUUAUGAACCGUAAUGCCAUUAAUUUGGUGUUGCGGGGAAUUUGGACUGUUACUUUGAAAAAAUUAGAGUGUUUAAAGCAGGCUAACGCUUGAAUACAUUAGCAUGGAAUAAUGAAAUAGGACGUUCGAUCUUAUUUUGUUGGUUUCUAGGAUUGACGUAAUGAUUAAUAGGGAUAGUUGGGGGCAUUAGUAUUCAAUUGUCAGAGGUGAAAUUCUUGGAUUUAUUGAAGACUAACUACUGCGAAAGCAUUUGCCAAGGAUGUUUUCAUUAAUCAAGAACGAAAGUUAGGGGAUCGAAGACGAUCAGAUACCGUCGUAGUCUUAACCAUAAACUAUGCCGACUAGGGAUCGGAUGAUGUUAAUUUUUUAAUGACUCAUUCGGCGCCUUACGGGAAACCAAAGUGUUUGGGU
This 554-nucleotide ribosomal RNA is filed under the name Rhizophagus irregularis. RNAcentral describes it as "SSU rRNA". It matches the Rfam family "Eukaryotic small subunit ribosomal RNA", at positions 557 to 1112 of the family's 1831-position model. Lineage: Eukaryota; Fungi; Glomeromycota; Glomeromycetes; Glomerales; Glomeraceae. The record is from RNAcentral.